Molecule: ribosomal RNA, 398 nt
Filed under: Rhyncogonus nigerrimus
Lineage: Eukaryota; Metazoa; Arthropoda; Insecta; Coleoptera; Curculionidae
Description: partial 16S ribosomal RNA
Rfam family: Archaeal large subunit ribosomal RNA
Source: RNAcentral
GACCUGCCCACUGAGGAAUUAAAUGGCCGCGGUAUUUUGACCGUGCAAAGGUAGCAUAAUAAUUAGUUUUUUAAUUGAAAGCUGGAAUGAAAGGUUGGAUGAGAAAAUAACUGUCUCUAUUUAGAUUAAUUAGAAUUUUAUUUUUAAGUAAAAAAGCUUAAAUAAUAAUAGAAGACGAGAAGACCCUAUAGAGUUUUAAUUUAGUUGGGGUGAUUGAAAAAUUUAAUAAACUUUUUUUAUAUUUAAACAUUAAUUUAUGAAUAAUUGAUCCUUUUUUUAAGAUUAAAAGAAAAAAUUACCUUAGGGAUAACAGCGUAAUUUUUUUAGAGAGUUCAAAUCGAAAAAAAAGAUUGCGACCUCGAUGUUGGAUUAAAAUUAAGUCUUGGUGUAGAAGCUAA